UUUUUUUUUUAAUUUAAAUUCAUUCAAAACAACAUUUUCAAAAUGAAAUGUCCUGACUUUUCAGGACAGAAUGUUCUGGUUUCCCUGGUGAAAUUAUUUCUCAAAUAUUAUCAUAUUUAUGAAGGAUCUUGCUCAUUCAAAACCUGCUGUUAAAUAUCCUUCUUUCUGAACACUUCUGUGUGCCCCUUCUGAACACUUCAGCAAUAUAGAGGGAAAACAGACGGGGCAGACGAGGUCAAGAUUUGAGUUUGGGUGGAUUUUGGUAUAUUGACUUAUGUGGACGUUUGCCUGAAUCAGUCUGUAAGCAAUUCAAGACUGCAUUUGUCUUUGUGAAGUAUAGCGUGUCUUCAUCUGCUUCUUGACCCACAGUCUGUCAGAAUAUAGCUCCAUUUUUCUUUGUGUGUCUUCAGCCCUACUGUAUUUUCCAUUUCAUCUCCUUUAGUAGUGUGACUAAGCACCUCUUGAGGGUUACUCUGUGACACGGUCAGUUCAUUUGAGUUGAUAAUUUCUGGAAGUUAUAUAGCUGGACUUGUGUUUUUAAAUUUCCCUUUACCCCAUAAUUUUUUUUCCCUUGGAAUGGCUCGAGGAAAUGCACACAAACUAAAAUCUGCAUGUGGUUUUACUUGGAAGGCUUAACGAGAGAUGUUGACCUAUGUGUUUCUAGCCUGUUUCUACAACAAGAAAGUUAUUUUGAAUUCUGUACAAAGCUUCCCUUAUAUAUGCAAAAAUUAAGAUAUUGGGCAAUUACUUUUUUCAGCUAGAAAACAAUAUGUUCUGAGCAGUUCCAGAACAUCACACUUAAAACUUUUUUUCUUUCUGCUAUGCAGAUCCUCUUUUUAUGAAAGAAUGACCUUGGUGAUCAUUUUUCAUGUUCCUGAGGUGUCUUCGCUCCCAGAAGCUGUCCACUUAUUUCCUUCUGGGCUUUCAAGGCACAUUAAAAAACAUCUGUUAUUGCACCAACUGAUGCAGCCUUUAUUAUUUUUGCUACAAUUGAACUUUGCAAAAUUGCCAUGCUGGAUUUUAUGGGCAGUUUCUGGGUUAAAGUGCAAGCCAGACUACAAGGAAAAAGAAAAAGCCCCAACUGCAGGCAGGCAACUGCUGUAAGUAGGCCUCUGUUGCCUCAACGUGGGCUGGGCAGUUCAGGCUGGGCUUAACUUUCAUCUUGGGCUCUCGUGGUUGCUUGACUUUACUCAUAUGCUGAUCUCAAUGGGAUUACAUGUGAGUUUAAACAGGAUGAGUGUUUGCUGUGUUGCAGCUUUGGACUAUACCCAGUGCUGGAGAGCACACAGACAAUAUUGUGGUGGGCAGCUGGAGUCACCACUCUGAGGCACGGUACUCAAUGGACCCGGAGGAGCAUCUGUUAACAGUAAAUAGUUUAGCUGGGAAUAAAAUAAAGUUAAGCACAAAAGUCUAGUGUCUCAUCUCUUCUGUGUAUGUAGGACCACUUGCUUCCAAUUAAACCUGUGCUCUCUACACAGCUGCAGUUUCUAAUGAAAAUUCACUGGGGCACCUGGUGCUAAUGCCCUCAUGUGCAUGUCUGGCUCGGGCAGCGGCCUGCCUGUAGCUGUUGGUGCUGUUGCUGCUGGGGAGGUCACAGCCUUCCUUUCAUCAGAAAUGCAGUGCUGCAGCCGCUGACGUAUGAAACAACAGUGAACCCUUAAGUGACCUUCAUUACAAAACCAAACUCUUAGAUCUGAGAAACAACCGCAGAGAUCCGUGUUCAUCUCAGAAAGCCCCUGCCACGGCAGUACAGUCACAGGCCAGGCAUGUCUGUGGGUGCACAGAGAGUGCAGACCCCGCAGCUGUCAGCUCUGUUGUUCCUGCGUGCUGCGUUUAUGCACAACAUUACCUUGUUAUUUGCAAUGCUCGCAGUAUGUCUUCCUUCAAAACAAAAGAAUGAUGUCCCAGUCUCUAAAACACUUUUUUUGGGUGAUACAAAGGAGGCCCUUUUGGAAAAAAAGAGACCAAGUUGCAUGUACUAUGUGAAUAUCAGCACAAGUAGAAGGAAUUUUUAAAUGCAUUUUAAAUGACCCUGAAUGUUGUCUGUGGAAAUGCUGUUUUUCCAGAAACAAUUUUCUAAGUUCGUCAUUUGGUGAUGGCCCAGGAAAGAGUGAGAUCAGAAGCUGGUGCAAGCAUUAGUGCAAGACAUGAAUCUGUUGUAAACUCUGUCUGCUUCUCUGUAUUUAGCAUUCCCCACAUCUCCUUGGCUGCCUCUGUAUAACCAGCUAUACAGGGGUUUAAUAUUUAAACAUGCAUCAUUCAAGGGGAUUACACUUAAUAUAUCUGUAGGAAAGAGGCUAAUAGUGCUCAUAUUAUUUGCAUCAGUUCUCAAGUGUGCUGAGGUCUACUUUGCUUCCUGAUUUUGGCAGAUCACACUUCUUUUAUUUUGUUCUGUUCAGCAAGGAAAUACAGAAAGACACUUUAAUUUUGCUUUUGGAAAUAUAGUAAUUUAUAAGGUUAAAUAAAAGAAUGACCAGUCAUAUUCAUUUAA
Molecule: long non-coding RNA, 2491 nt
Organism: Cygnus olor (mute swan)
Lineage: Eukaryota; Metazoa; Chordata; Aves; Anseriformes; Anatidae
Exons: 3
Source: RefSeq, a predicted model, not a curated record